GACAGCCUGCGCAUUGUCGGCGUAUAAAGACAACGAUUUUUGAGAGCAAUGGCAUGUUCGGAACGCGGUGAAAAUCCGCGACGGUCCCGCCGCUGUAAUCGGGGAGUUCGACCGCAUUGAGCCACUGGCCCGCGUCCGCCGCAAGCGGAUAGCGGGAUGGGAAGGCGCGGCCGGAUGGCGAUCCGAAAGUCAGAAGACCUGCCGUCUGCUCGCGUGAAAC
This 220-nucleotide non-coding RNA is filed under the name Lentisphaerota bacterium. Lineage: Bacteria; Pseudomonadati; Lentisphaerota. The record is from RNAcentral.